GAAAAUUUGAGGCUCUAAUGGAAAUAUGAUCAUAAAGUCAUUUGUAGCUUGUACAGUGUGAUAUAAAUAGGGGACUGGAAAACUGCCUUGCAUAAUGGGAAAUGCUGGAGAGCGUAGGAAACAGAUGAGGUACAUUUCCAGGGCAAACUACUUGCACAGGUACUGAGUAACAAGGCUGGCUACAGAUAAGAUGCCAACUUCACAUUACCCACAAACUAGUAGAGGAAGGUAACAGUUAAAUGAAUGAAAAGCAGGCUUAAUGUCUGUGAUUAUGCAAAACUACUGUCCAGCAGCUUCCAAGUUAAAGUCAGACACUUUUAGGGGUUCUCAGAGAAAGAAGUUCUUCCAAGAAGUCAUCUAUUUUAACGGUGUAGAUUCCUAUCAAAGCUUGAAAAACAGCCUCAGAGUUUAUAAAUUCGCUAAACCUGACUCUUUGAAAGUUUUUGGUUUUUUGUUUGUUUUUCAGUACUGAGGAUCAAAUCUAGGCCUCCAGCAUGCUAGCUAAGUGCUCUAUCCCUGAGCUGCCCCCACCCCCAGCCCCUGAAGUCUUGAUUAUAGCUUCAGAAAGCUAGUUGUUAGUUUCAGACAUUCCUUUUUCCGUGCAAGAUGUGUUUCUAGGAUAAUCGUGCCUUCCUGAUGUAAUUUGAAAGUUUAAGGCAUGUACAGAUGGCCCUAGACUUAAGAUGACUUGCCUUUUUUUUACUUUACAGUGGAACAAGCAAUGCUUAUUCCAUGAAAUCCAUACUUAAGGUCUUGAAUUUUGAUCUUUCUGGCUAGCAAUAUAUGGCACUCUAUUCUCUUGCUGCUGGGCAGCGGCAGGGAACUAUAGCUCCCAGUUGGCCAAGAGGUCACAAGGGGAAGGCACCAAUCCUCCAUGCUGUGCUGUGUUGUUGUGAUUAGGUGUAUUAAGUGCAUUUUUUUUUGUUGUAGUUGUCUGCUUUGAGAUAGGGUCUAGCUGUGUACUACUCCAGGUUGGCCUUGAACUCAAAAUCCUUAGUCUCUGGAGUGCUGGGAUUUAUAGGCAUAGGUCUGCAAGCUCAACUGCAAUGCCUUGCCUCUUCUGUACUGACUUGACUUAAUGAUAUUUUCAUUUUACAAAGAGUGUGUCAGGAUAAGGCCGGACGUGGUGGCGCAUGCCUAUAAUCCCAGCACUCAGAAGGCUGAGGCAGGAGGAGUGCCAAAAGAUUGAGUCCAGCCUGGGCUACAUAGUGAGAUCCUGUCUCACCCGCCUCCACAAAAAGAAAAGAAGGAUUUCUCCAGAAAGUGCAGUCCUCAGUGGUCUCAAGAAUACAACUUCUAGUUACCCAGCAGCAAGGUCCUGGGCCCUAAAAUACAAAGGUGUUGGGAGUGUUACUCUUAUGCAGUCCACCUGAUCUUGUCUUUGCCUAAUCGGAGAUGACUGCCCGGGAGACGGAUCCCUGUCUGUAUUCAGCAGCUAUCCUGAGUAGAACUUUUCCUCUUGCCUAACUGGGAAUGGAUUUCACAAAAGUCCCAUGUAAUUAAGAUCACAAUUCUCCCAGCGAAGAUCUGGCUUUCCUAGACUUCACUUCCCAUCUCUUUGAACAUUAAUAUGUUAGAUUUGCCACAAAUUAAAUUAUAAAGGCACAUUCUUUGCAUGUUCUCAUUAUUGCAUUCCAAGAUAUUGCCAAGGAUUACAGUUAAGUAGCAGCGGAAGGAAAUACUUGUGUUUGUCUAGUGUUCCCCGGUCACAGACUUCCAG
Molecule: long non-coding RNA, 1720 nt
Organism: Heterocephalus glaber (naked mole-rat)
Lineage: Eukaryota; Metazoa; Chordata; Mammalia; Rodentia; Bathyergidae
Source: Ensembl